GGCGGGGUGGAGCAGCCCGGUAGCUCGUCAGGCUCAUAACCUGAAGGUCGUCAGUUCAAAUCUGGCCCCCGCAACCA
This 77-nucleotide transfer RNA is filed under the name Allobosea sp. 127. Its description in RNAcentral is "Bosea sp. 127 tRNA-Met". It matches the Rfam family "tRNA". From Rfam's summary of the family: Transfer RNA (tRNA) molecules are approximately 80 nucleotides in length. Their secondary structure includes four short double-helical elements and three loops (D, anti-codon, and T loops). Further hydrogen bonds mediate the characteristic L-shaped molecular structure. tRNAs have two regions of fundamental functional importance: the anti-codon, which is responsible for specific mRNA codon recognition, and the 3' end, to which the tRNAs corresponding amino acid is attached (by aminoacyl-tRNA synthetases). tRNAs cope with the degeneracy of the genetic code in two manners: having more than one tRNA (with a specific anti-codon) for a particular amino acid; and 'wobble' base-pairing, i.e. permitting non-standard base-pairing at the 3rd anti-codon position. The record is from RNAcentral. RNAcentral also lists the same sequence under 3 other names. Lineage: Bacteria; Pseudomonadati; Pseudomonadota; Alphaproteobacteria; Hyphomicrobiales; Alloboseaceae.